This 254-nucleotide ribosomal RNA is filed under the name uncultured bacterium. RNAcentral describes it as "partial 16S ribosomal RNA". It matches the Rfam family "Bacterial small subunit ribosomal RNA", at positions 524 to 776 of the family's 1533-position model. The record is from RNAcentral.
UACGUAGGGGGCAAGCGUUGUCCGGAUUUAUUGGGCGUAAAGCGCGCGUAGGCGGCCCGGUAAGUCCGCUGUGAAAGUCGGGGGCUCAACCCUCGGAUGCCGGUGGAUACUGUCGGGCUUGAGUGCGGAAGAGGCGAGUGGAAUUCCUGGUGUAGCGGUGAAAUGCGCAGAUAUCAGGAGGAACACCAAUUGCGAAGGCAGCUCGCUGGGACGUUACUGACGCUGAUGCGCGGAAAGCGUGGGGAGCAAACAGG